ACAAUUGAACGCUGGCGGCAGGCCUAACACAUGCAAGUCGAGCGGAUGAAGGGAGCUUGCUCCUGGAUUCAGCGGCGGACGGGUGAGUAAUGCCUAGGAAUCUGCCUGGUAGUGGGGGAUAACGUCCGGAAACGGGCGCUAAUACCGCAUACGUCCUGAGGGAGAAAGUGGGGGAUCUUCGGACCUCACGCUAUCAGAUGAGCCUAGGUCGGAUUAGCUAGUUGGUGGGGUAAAGGCCUACCAAGGCGACGAUCCGUAACUGGUCUGAGAGGAUGAUCAGUCACACUGGAACUGAGACACGGUCCAGACUCCUACGGGAGGCAGCAGUGGGGAAUAUUGGACAAUGGGCGAAAGCCUGAUCCAGCCAUGCCGCGUGUGUGAAGAAGGUCUUCGGAUUGUAAAGCACUUUAAGUUGGGAGGAAGGGCAGUAAGUUAAUACCUUGCUGUUUUGACGUUACCAACAGAAUAAGCACCGGCUAACUUCGUGCCAGCAGCCGCGGUAAUACGAAGGGUGCAAGCGUUAAUCGGAAUUACUGGGCGUAAAGCGCGCGUAGGUGGUUCAGCAAGUUGGAUGUGAAAUCCCCGGGCUCAACCUGGGAACUGCAUCCAAAACUACUGAGCUAGAGUACGGUAGAGGGUGGUGGAAUUUCCUGUGUAGCGGUGAAAUGCGUAGAUAUAGGAAGGAACACCAGUGGCGAAGGCGACCACCUGGACUGAUACUGACACGAGUCGAAAGCGUCCU
RNAcentral lists this ribosomal RNA (742 nucleotides) under Pseudomonas aeruginosa. RNAcentral describes it as "bacterial SSU rRNA". It matches the Rfam family "Bacterial small subunit ribosomal RNA", at positions 25 to 765 of the family's 1533-position model. The record is from RNAcentral. Lineage: Bacteria; Pseudomonadati; Pseudomonadota; Gammaproteobacteria; Pseudomonadales; Pseudomonadaceae.